GCUCUGGACCAGUAGAGUCCUGGUUGGAUGCUCGAUAAGCUGAGAGAGAAGAGGUUUUAUGGUUAAAACAGGGUCAGGUAUUGUAGCUUGGCUCAGUUGGGACUAAGUUUUUGAUCAA
Long non-coding RNA from Ananas comosus (pineapple), 118 nucleotides. RefSeq lists it as uncharacterized. Lineage: Eukaryota; Viridiplantae; Streptophyta; Magnoliopsida; Poales; Bromeliaceae. The transcript has 2 exons. The record is from RefSeq and is a predicted model, not a curated record.